RNAcentral lists this long non-coding RNA (1036 nucleotides) under Medicago truncatula (barrel medic). Its description in RNAcentral is "lncRNA gene48877". The record is from RNAcentral. Lineage: Eukaryota; Viridiplantae; Streptophyta; Magnoliopsida; Fabales; Fabaceae.
CUCUUCUUCUCCAACGUAAAUCCCCUUCUCUCUUCUUCCUUUUCUUCUUCCUUCUCUUCCCUCCCACCUUCUCUGUUUAUCUUCUUUCUUUUCUUCUUCCUUCUAUUAUCUUCAUCAUUCUCUUCUCUAUUCUCUUCUUCCUUCUAUUCUCUCCCACCUUCUCUCUUUUUGUUAUUCCUUUUCUUCUUCCUUCUCUUCUCUUUUCUCUUUUCUCUUCUCUCUAUUUCUUUUCACCAAAUCAUACCCUCCAUCCCUCCAAUCAAGAAACAGCAACACAAGAACACAAUCAAGAAAUUGAAAGAGAGAAUUUUCGAAUUUUGAAAGAGAGGAUUUUUGAAUCUGGGUUUUUGAUUCUUCAUACAUGGAAUUGAUUUUUAACCACUUGGGUUUGAUUUUUUAUUGGAAGAGGAAGCAAUCUGGGUUGAUUUUUGAUUUGAUGAUUUGUUUUUAAAGAAGUUGUUGUUGUUUUACGUUGAAGUUGUUGUUUCCGAUUUAAAUUCCAUUUGAUUUUGUUUUUCUCUUUUGGAAUUGGGUUAAAGAAGAAUUUUGUGUUGUUGUUAUUGUGUUGUUGAUGCGUUGUUGUUGUGUUGUUGAUGAUUGAUCCAAAAAUUGAAAAUUGAUGAGAAGGGGAUGGAUUGGAACAACCAGGAAAGAAGAGAAGAAGAGAUUGUUGUGUUGAUGUUGUGUUGUGUGAUGUUGUGUUGCUGGAAAAAAGAUGGUAGAAGGAGAUUGAAAAGAGAGAGUGAAGAAGAAGAUGAAGAUGAAAAGAAAUAAAUAAAAAAAUCAAUUAAGUUUUUAAUAAAAAAAUUCAAAUGGAAUAAAAAAAUUGCAAAAGAAACAAAAAAGCCAAGUCAAUUGUACGAUUUUGCAUCUCCUCUUUUUUUUUUUUGAGUGAUUUUGCACCCCAUCUUUUUGCCCCUUUUCUGAUUUUGCACCUCAUCUUUGUGUUCAAUUGCACUUUUGUCCCUUAUCUUUUUGCUAAUUGUACGAUUUUGCACCCUCACUUAUAUUUUUUGAGCGAUUUUGCACCCUAUCU